RNAcentral lists this ribosomal RNA (331 nucleotides) under uncultured bacterium. Its description in RNAcentral is "bacterial SSU rRNA". It matches the Rfam family "Bacterial small subunit ribosomal RNA", at positions 568 to 898 of the family's 1533-position model. The record is from RNAcentral.
CGCGUAGACGGUUUUGUAAGUCAGAUGUGAAAUCCCCGGGCUCAACUUGGGAACUGCAUUUGAAACUGCAUGGCUAGAGUAUGGUAGAGGGAAGUGGAAUUUCCGGUGUAGCGGUGAAAUGCGUAGAUAUCGGAAGGAACACCAGUGGCGAAAGCGACUUCCUGGACCAAUACUGACGUUCAUGUGCGAAAGCGUGGGGAGCAAACAGGAUUAGAUACCCUGGUAGUCCACGCCAUAAACGAUGACAACUAGAUGUUGGGAGGGUCUGCCUCUCGGUGUCGCAGCUAACGCGUUAAGUUGUCCGCCUGGGGAGUACGGCCGCAAGGUUGAA